RNAcentral lists this ribosomal RNA (253 nucleotides) under uncultured bacterium. Its description in RNAcentral is "partial 16S ribosomal RNA". It matches the Rfam family "Bacterial small subunit ribosomal RNA", at positions 524 to 776 of the family's 1533-position model. The record is from RNAcentral.
UACAGGGGGUGCAAACGUUGCUCGGAAUCAUUGGGCGUAAAGCGCACGUAGGCGGUUCGUUAUGUCGGAUGUGAAGGCCCUUGGCUUAACCGAGGAAGUGCAUCCGAAACUGGCGAGCUAGAGUACUAAAGAGGAUCGCGGAAUUCCCGGUGUAGAGGUGAAAUUCGUAGAUAUCGGGAGGAACACCGGUGGCGAAGGCGGCGAUCUGGGUAGAUACUGACGCUGAGGUGCGAAAGCGUGGGGAGCGAACAGG